UAUAGUAGCCAUACCACUUUGCCAAUGCCAAAUAUCAUCAGAUCUCAUAAUCUAAGCAGUGUUGGGCUUCGUUAGUACUUGGAUGGGAGACCGCUGGAAAUGCCAGGUGACACAGUGG
This 118-nucleotide ribosomal RNA is filed under the name Periophthalmus magnuspinnatus. The record is from RNAcentral. Lineage: Eukaryota; Metazoa; Chordata; Actinopteri; Gobiiformes; Gobiidae.